This 327-nucleotide ribosomal RNA is filed under the name Triticum aestivum (bread wheat). RNAcentral's name for it is "partial small subunit ribosomal RNA". The record is from RNAcentral. Lineage: Eukaryota; Viridiplantae; Streptophyta; Magnoliopsida; Poales; Poaceae.
AUGUGCAACUUUAGAAAGCCGGUCAAUGACGACAAGAAUAGCAUCAUUACCUUUCUGCGAUUUGGGAAACCCAGUGACGAAGUCCAUUUCAACAUGGUCACAUUUCCAUUCAGGAACAGUGAUAGGUUGCAGAGUUCCAGCAGGCCUUUGAUGCUCUGCUUUGAUAUGGCGGCAAACGUCACACUCAACAACAUAACGAGCAAUGUCUUGCUUCAUAUUAGACCAUCAGAAUCUCUGACGAAUGUCUUGGUACAUCUUUGUACUACCGAGAUGAAUAGACAAAGGUGUAUCAUGAGCUUCUUUAUAACCUCCUGUGUCAUAUCCUAG